Molecule: ribosomal RNA, 460 nt
Filed under: uncultured bacterium
Lineage: Bacteria
Description: partial 16S ribosomal RNA
Rfam family: Bacterial small subunit ribosomal RNA
Source: RNAcentral
CCUACGAGUGGCAGCAGUGAGGAAUAUUGGUCAAUGGGCGCGAGCCUGAACCAGCCAAGUAGCGUGAAGGAUGACUGCCCUACGGGUUGUCCACUUCUUUUAUAAAGGAAUAAAGUGAGGCACGUGUGCCUUUUUGUAUGUACUUUAUGAAUAAGCAUCAGCUAACUCCGUGCCAGCAGCCGCUGUCAUACGGAGGAUCCGAGCGUUAUCCGGCUUUAUUUGGUUUAAAGGGAGCGUAGAUUGGUUGUUAAGUCAGUUGUGAAAGUUUUCGGCUCAACCGUAAAAUUGCAAUUGAUACUGGCAGUCGUGAGUACAGUUGAGGUAGGCGGAAUUCGUGGUGUAGCGGUGAAAUGCUUAGAUAUCACGAAGAACUCCGAGUGCGAAGGCAGCUUACUAAACUGCCACUGACAUUGAUGCUCGAAAGUGUGGGUAUCAAACAGGAUUAGAUACCCUUGUAGUC